This 506-nucleotide ribosomal RNA is filed under the name uncultured bacterium. RNAcentral describes it as "partial 16S ribosomal RNA". It matches the Rfam family "Bacterial small subunit ribosomal RNA", at positions 30 to 523 of the family's 1533-position model. The record is from RNAcentral.
AUUGAACGCUGGCGGCAUGCCUUACACAUGCAAGUCGAACGGCAGCAUGGAAGAGCUUGCUCUUCUGAUGGCGAGUGGCGAACGGGUGAGUAAAGCAUCGGAACGUACCGUGUAGUGGGGGAUAACGUAGCGAAAGUUACGCUAAUACCGCAUACGCACUGAGGUGGAAAGCAGGGGAUCGCAAGACCUUGCGCUAUACGAGCGGCCGUUGUCAGAUUAGCUAGUUGGGAGGGUAAAGGCCUACCAAGGCGACGAUCUGUAGCGGGUCUGAGAGGAUGAUCCGCCACACUGGGACUGAGACACGGCCCAGACUCCUACGGGAGGCAGCAGUGGGGAAUUUUGGACAAUGGGCGAAAGCCUGAUCCAGCCAUGCCGCGUGAGUGAAGAAGGCCUUCGGGUUGUAAAGCUCUUUCGGCUGGGAAGAAAUCGCACAGGCUAAUACUCUGUGUGGAUGACGGUACCAGCACAAGAAGCACCGGCUAACUACGUGCCAGCAGCCGCCGUAA